Molecule: non-coding RNA, 4165 nt
Organism: Rattus norvegicus (Norway rat)
Lineage: Eukaryota; Metazoa; Chordata; Mammalia; Rodentia; Muridae
Source: RefSeq, a predicted model, not a curated record
AUGCCCCGAGAAGGGACAUGGAGCUACUCAGCAACAGCCUUGCAGCCUAUGCGCACAUCCGAGGUGAGGGCCAGGCCUGGGGGCACGGAGCUCGUCCAUCAUAACCCAGGCAGCCCUCCGCUCCCAGCUGCUCACCCUGUCCUUGCUGCCCUUCCGUUCCUUACCCCAAGCCUAACUAGACCCUGGAUUUCUCCCAGAUGGGAUGACUCCAGCCUGUCAGGGCCCCCUGUGACCUCCGCUCCCUGCUCCCUAGCUAACCCUGAGAGCUUCGGCCUCUACUUCGUGCUUGGCGUCUGCUUCGGCCUGCUGCUGACCCUAUGCCUGCUGGUCAUCAGCAUCUCCUGCGCACCUCGUUCGCGGCCCCGGACCCCUGCCCCGCACCGGGACCCUCGCAGUAGCACCCUAGAGCCGGAAGACGAGGACGACGAGGAUGAGGACACCAUGACCAGGCUGGGUCCGGAUGACACCCUGCAGGGCCAGGAGCUGUCCACAGAACCCGACGGGCCCCUUAGCGUCAAUGUCUUCACGUCAGCAGAGGAGCUAGAGCGGGCACAGCGGCUGGAGGAGCGUGAACGAAUCCUGCGGGAGAUCUGGCGCACUGGGCAGCCAGACCUGUUGGGCAGCGGCACUCUCGGGCCCGGAGCCACGGCCACGUUGGGCCGAAUGCACUAUUACUGACACCCGGUCCCACAGAGUGGGGCCAGAGUACUGGAUACAGGACUGCCUCAGGGCUUUCAAACUGCCUCUGCCCCAACUCUCUUGGUGCUAUUGGGCAUUGGAUCGCCACCUACUAAGCACUCUUCGUGGGGCAGGUGUGGGUGGGAACAGAAUGCCAGCUCCCACCUUUUCCCGAUAAUAAUGACCAAUGAAAGAUCAAAGAAACAGACCGAGGCACGCCUCUUCCACAGAGGGCGGGUAUUAUGAGCAUUCCUCACAAAUUUCGUCCUUUCGAGCCGGCAUUUGGACAAAUAGUCACCUAGUCCCCUGCCCUAUGACCUGCACUGGGAUGUCCUCACCGCAAUCAGAGGGAAGCCUGAGGCUCCGACCUUGAUGCAGAUUCUAUUAGAUUUAGUGCCUGAGCAGAUGCUUCUAGGCCAAAAAUUAUUCCAAGAUUUCUGGUUCCUCUGCGUCAUCUGAACCUAGUUGGGAAAGGGUUAUCACGGACCAGAGCCACCAACUACUUCCCUCCUCCCCUCCUGCAUUCCUGUUCAACCCACCUCUGGCGACUGGAGCUUCUCCGUCUUCAGCUCCUUCCAGACCUCCCCCAUCUUCUGUCUGUGUAUACGGGUUUCAGGUGAAACGCUGGAUCCUUCCCUCCUGCCCCACCCCGCCCCAUCCCACAUUACUGCCCGCUUACUCCAGCUUCAGCUCCAGGAGCGCCAGUCUGUUCUUGAGGGAGUUCACCUCUGCCUUUAACAAUUCCAGUUCAUCCACGCUGUCGUUCUUGCUUUUGGGAGAGGUUAGUGGGACCGAAGGCUGAAGUGUGGGAGCUUCAGGGUCUGGAAUCUUCUUGACAGUAUGUGGCACUUGGGGAGUGGGGACUGACUCUUGAGGCAGCACCUGCUUUUGGGGACCCGCCCCUUCAGAAGGCAGCUUUUUGGGGAGUGCACUGUUUGGGGUGAUCUCAUCUUUGGCUAGUGGUUUCCUUAAAAAGUUGGCCUCCUCCAUGGCAGACACAUCCUCAGCCUUGGACUGGGCUGGAGAGCCGCUGACCUGUUUGACACCACAGCAGGAUGGAUCUGAGGAGUUCGGCUGUGGGGAGUACUCUCCCUGCACCUGGAUGUCAUUUGGGGAUAUGAAGGACUCCGACCUCUGCGUAGUUUCUUCCUGAGGUGAGUGCUGGUACUGAAUGUUGUCUUUAGAAGGCUCCUCUUUAAAAAUCAUGUGCUCUGGGGUCAAGAUCUUUACUAAUGCAGGGGCACUGUCCACAUGAGGGGCCGUCUUCAGGUCAAGAGCUUCGUCCUUAGCUGGCUCAUCCCCAGAAAGGGCGCUCUCUGGAGUGACAGCCUUGACCAGAGUGGUAUUCUCUGUAGUGGGAAUUUUGUCAGAAUCCGGGGCUUUCUCUGGAACGAGGUCCUUUGGAGUGGACACUUUGUCAGGAGCUGGGAUCGGCUCUGGGUCAAGGGCCUUCUCUGGAAGCCGAGACUUCUCUGAAGUAGGGGUUUUACUCCUGGAGGGACCCUUUCCAGGGCUUUUCUGUUCAUCCUCCUGUGGUCAUGGUUGGAUGGGAUCUCGGUUGAACGCUGGAUACCUUAGAGGAGUUCCCUUACCCCCUUGGGGUCUUUUCACCCUUCAACACACCUGUGGGAACCAUCUCCUCCCAGUAAUGCCCUCCUCCAUGUUUCUGGCCCCUCACCUGACUGGAUGCAGAGUGUUGGAGGGUUCUGGAUCCCUUUCUCCCAGGCUGCCUGGACCCUGCGUUGAGGCAGCCGCCAUUGAAGCCUGUGAGAGUAGACCUUCAGGGACCCACGUUCACCUCUAUCCCUCCACACAACCGCCCCCAUCUUCCACCGUUGGAAGGAAGCCCUUACCAGAGUUUCGGGAGGGCCGUUUCUGGCUGUCCACAUUGAGUGUUGAAGGUGGUCUGGAACACAGGAGCAGCGUAAGAGUCGGGCAGGAGAAGCUUCUCCUCUGCACCUCCUCCAGGCUCAACACCCCACCCUCCUUACUUGGCUUUGCUAGGUGCAGGGGCCGCCGCUGCCAGCUUCUUUACAGUGGGUAGAGAUGACUUGGGCAUCAGUUUUUUCGUUUCCUUAAUAGGAGCUGGGAAGAGAAAGAUGAGCAGUGUUCAUCCGCCCGAGUCCCUGGCUGUGUGUGUGUGUGUGUGUCUGUGUGUCUGUGUGUGUGUCUUGUGCUGUGCACAGAAGACUGAACGGGAGAUGGAUUCUGACUUUGGGAGAUGACCCUUAGGGAACUGUGAAGCACCCCAUCCGAACACAGCAGGGAGCAGGAGAGGCUGUAUGUGGGAGAGAGCACCCUAUGCCAACAGGUUUUAAUUCAGUGUUUGAAGUUCAGUCCUGACUUCUUUAUAGACCACCAACAAUCCCCCCACAUCUGCAACAGAGCUGCCCCCCCACCCCCCACCACGACAGGGUCUCAUAGUGUAGCGCUGCUAUCUUGGAGCUUACUAUAUAGACCAGGGUGGCCUCAAAUACCUGCCUCUGCCUCCCAAGUGCUGUGAGUAAAGGUGUACAACACCAUACCCAGCCGUAAUUUGCCCCUUUCUGAUCUCACUUCAGCCUCUCUUGCCGUUUCACGCCUUCUAAGUGAUCUCACACAGUCUUAAAGAGUUUACUCUCCAUCAAUAAACCCAGCCUCCCCCAUUGUUACCACCGAGACCUCAGUCAUGCCCCGCUGCCCUCUCGCCCUUCCUUUCAAAGGAUGACUAGAGAGACUCAGUCUCAAAAUCAAAAACCAGGUUCCUCCUGGAGAGCCACCAGUAGCUGCAGUGUAUCAUCCAGAUGCAGGUUCCGCUUCCCAGACCCUGGCGCCUUCCUCUCUCCUGUUACCCUCAGGUCCCACUUUGCAAGGAUGAGACAAUGAAGAACUGGCUUUUGACUCAUCUUUCUUUUUUUUUUUGAGCUGAGGACCGAACCCAGGGCCUUGCACUUGCUAGGCAAGUGCCCUACCAUUGAGCCAAAUCCCCAACCCCUAGACUCAUCUUUCUUAAUCCUUACAUUGUACUUCUAAAAAAUUCAGCAAGAGGGCUAAGACAGAUGGAUCGGGGGUUACAGUAGGGGUUAAGUCCUAUCUCUCCACCGUGCACCAGGGAUCAAAGUCAAGGUCAUGAACUUGGGUAAGCCACCUUACCAGCCCUACAGUAUACAGUCUUUAAUGAGGUGAUCUGGAUGCUCUGUAAUCCCAGCCUCCUGGAGGUGUAGAGGUAGUUGGAAUGUUGGGAGUUGGAGGGCAGCCUGGCUAUGUUGUAAUACCUUGUCUCAAAAUAAGUAUUAAAAGAAAAUCCCAGGGCUGGAGAUAUGGCUCAGCGGUUAAGAGCACUGACUGUUCUUCCAGAGGUCCUGAUUCAAUUCCCAGCAACCACAUGGUGGCUCACAACCAUCUGUAAUGGGGAUCCCCUCUUUUGGUGUGUCUGAAGAGAGCAACAGUGUACUCACAUACAUGAAGUAAAUAAAUAAAAUCUUAAAAAAAAAAAAAGAAAAGAAAA